AUGCACACCCGUCCGUGGAGGUUUAUGCCCACGGAGCCGCCACCACUAGGGCCAUACGUCGAAGGGGUCGGUGCACGGGGUACAUCACUUGCCCAGUCCCUAUACUGGCCAACAACGGCAGCGUAUGUGGACGUUGUUUCCUCCUUGCAGGCACCGUCGCGGUGCUCCCACUUCCUUCGGGUUACUCCGGGUGAAAACUUGAUUUGCGGGAUCGGACGGUGGCAGCUACUGUCAUGCCCUUCUCGGAGGCACUGUUUUGAAGUCCUCGCACCGUCGUCGGCCAUCUCACCUCUCCUCGAUGGUUCGCUCAUGGGGAUCUCCGUAGGCUCAAGGCGGUGCUUCUUUGCUCAUCCUUAG
RNAcentral lists this ribosomal RNA (357 nucleotides) under Triticum aestivum (bread wheat). Its description in RNAcentral is "partial small subunit ribosomal RNA". Lineage: Eukaryota; Viridiplantae; Streptophyta; Magnoliopsida; Poales; Poaceae. The record is from RNAcentral.